This 76-nucleotide transfer RNA is filed under the name Thalassovita gelatinovora. Its description in RNAcentral is "Thalassobius gelatinovorus tRNA-Thr". Lineage: Bacteria; Pseudomonadati; Pseudomonadota; Alphaproteobacteria; Rhodobacterales; Roseobacteraceae. The record is from RNAcentral.
CAGGCGGCCCGGGCCGGGAUCAAUGCGCCGCUUUCGUCCAGCGCGGGGCGGCUGUUCGAUGCGGUCGCCGCCUGUC